This 2682-nucleotide long non-coding RNA is filed under the name Sus scrofa (pig). Its description in RNAcentral is "lncRNA (ENSSSCG00025027395.1)". The record is from RNAcentral. Lineage: Eukaryota; Metazoa; Chordata; Mammalia; Artiodactyla; Suidae.
AUGCUGCUCGGCGGGAGCUGGGAGACGGUUGGAGGAGCUGAGAUGGAGAUGGUGGUGCUGAGCCCAGCGGUCCUGAGGUCACUAUUUGGUGAUGUCUGUUUCUUCCCUUCCAGGAGGUGGCAGCAGGUGAGUAAGGAGAAGGACCUGGAUGGGUUGAGGGGCACAGGUGGGAGUAUGUGCGUGAGCAUGCAUGCAUGUGUGUACGUGUGUGUGUGUGUGUGUGUGUGUGCGUGCAUGUGCAGUUUUGAGGAGAAGAAUCUGGGUGAGUAACCAAACUUCUCCAAUUUGGCAUAUGGGAGUUCCCAGUUAUUUUAACUUGCUUUUUAAAGAAAAUGGGCCCUCACUGUGUAGUCAAGGGUUAACUGAGAUCAGAACUUUCAGGAAAUGCAUAUUUGGAAGGAACUGUCCAUUUGGAUACAAGCUGACACCAGAUUGAGCUUUUUUUUUUUUUUUUUCUCUUUAGGGCCACACCUAAAGCAUAGGAAGUUCCCAGACUAGGGGUCAAAUCAGAGCUGCAGCAGCCAGCCUAUGCCUCAGCCAAAGCAACACUGGACCCGAGCCACGUUGGAGACCUACACUGCAGCUUGCGGUGACACAGAAUCCUUAACCCACUGAGUGAGGCCAGGGAUCGAACCUUCAUCCUCACAGACACUAUGUAGGGUUCUUAGCCCACUGAGCCACAAUGGCUACUCCUGAACUUCUUUGAUUAUACUUCUUUGACAUCAGAUUAAGCUUCCACAGGGAAAAGCUUGUUUAAGCUUGUCACGUCUUAUCUUUCACCAAUAUUCAAUUUGUAAGGAAGUGGGAAAAAAAUUUUUUUCUGAGUUUUGGAGGGUGGGGUGCAGACUGGAUUUCAGGCCCCUGUUGCCUCCUCAGAUGUUUGCCUCAGCACAACCUUACAUUCUAAGAAAGAAUGUCCUAGAACAUAAGCACCACUUCCCUAUCACGACAUGGUUGUAGUAAUAGAAUUAAUGAACAUUUACUGUACACCAGGUACCACUCUAGGCACUUUCAAUAUUUGCUUGGAACCUUUUGAGCCUCAUGGCAGCAACUUCAGGUAAGGAAAGAGAACAACCUGCCAAGGUAACAGCCACGGCGGAGCUGAGAUUGCUCUCUUAACCAUCUGCUGUCCUGCUAGACAUGGAAAGAUCUGUAAGCAACUUCAGGCAAGGCAAGGAGAAAACAAGAGAGAAAGCAGAGCCCCAAGUAAACCUGGUGAGAAAAUGCUUGGCAUGAAAUCCUAUUUACUAGAGAGAAGCCACAUGCAUAGUUAGUGCUGAGCUUUUUCUAAAAUAAUCAACAGGGAGGGAAAACUCAACAUCAUUUUAAGAUUCCCAGUAUCCAUAAGGUAUAAAGUUCAAGAAUUGGGGGAGAAGCACAACUAUUUGUGGAACUAAGAUAAAAGGAAAUUGUCUCCAGUUGGUCUUUGAAGAGCCACUUAUCCAAGGUCUCCCAGCUGCUCAGCCAGAAUUUAAACCACAUGGUUUCAGAGUCCACAUUCUCAGGCACAGCCCCCCUCUGCCUCUGGAGCUGGACCUGGUGCUCCUGAUAAAUGUUUCUUGAAUGGAUAAGUGACCAACCAGUGAAAUCAAAACAGUAGUUCAGGAGUGUCUGGAGCAACGGGAGGGUGGCUUGAUAUGACUGUGUCCAUUCUUACAUUAGAGUUGUUUAUAAUUAAGUGUUCAGAGACUGCCCAGAUUAAUAAUAAUCUUAACACCCUCCCAAACACCAAAGCAAACUAACUUCUAACUAAGGCUUUCACUCAGAGAAGCAGCACAAAUGGCUAUUGUGUCUCCCUUGUCUUUUGCAGAACCUAAGAAUUUACUUGGAACCAACCUGAUAUGAAUGGAAUUUCACUUGUAGGAGUUUCGCAAAGACUCAGUCACAUUCUCUCUCUCUGUCUCGCUCGUCUGCCCCCCCUCCCUCAUAGGACUUGGAUGGACACAAGGCUUGAAAUCAGAUAUUGGGCUGCUCUGAUCGAUGCAGGGAGGGCAUAUUAUUACAAGUAUAAAACUGCUUAUAAAAGUCUUACAGCAACUGGAAAAAAAAAUGGAAACAUUAACAGCUAAGUCCCAGUUCAGCUUACACUCUAUUAAAUAUAAAAUCCUUCAAACCUGAUAAUCAUUCAAAGAGGGCUUUACUCAGCAUAGUUGAGCAGGACCAACUCCACGGCCAGUGAGAAGGAGGCAGAUAGCUUCAUAUCCAAAAAAUUCCCCAAAGCUCCAUCAUCAGGCAUAUAUUUUCACCAAACAGUGUCUAAUAUCUGUGUAGCGCCUCUUAAACUGCAUGCCUGAAACGAAUCCAUAUUGGGUCUCUGCUCCAGUCUGGCACUAAUUUGGUUUUCUCACACACAUUCCCUCCUUUGGAACCAACAACAACCCUGGGAUUUAGGCUGGGCAGAUGUAAUUAUCCCUGUUUUACAGCUAAGAAUGCAGGCUUAGAGAUGGAAAGGAAGUUUGUGGAAGCUGUAAGUGAGCAGGGGCCCUCUUGAGAGCAGCAAGGAGCCCAGAACUUAAACCUGGGUCUCCGCACUCUUGCACUCUGCUCUCUAACCUCCGCUGAAGAUGUGAACCCCCACCCACUGGAAGGUUGGAGAACUAUGCAAAGGGAAGCCAGGUGCCAACAGAGUCCAGCUCCACAUCGUCCAAUAAACCCACUUUUCCCGAGAGUGAGGAUAAGGAA